Long non-coding RNA from Sander lucioperca (pikeperch), 520 nucleotides. RefSeq lists it as uncharacterized. The transcript is spliced from 3 exons. Lineage: Eukaryota; Metazoa; Chordata; Actinopteri; Perciformes; Percidae. The record is from RefSeq and is a predicted model, not a curated record.
UUGUUGCUAAUAGUGGACGCAUGAGCAGUGAUGGACCACUGUUUUUAUCUUGUACUAGAAUAUGUUGAUAUAUCUUCACUAACCACCUGGCGCUUAGGAUGUAAAACCAUCUACAAAGGGGUGCGUUGUGUGAUCGGUCACCUGCGGUUUCGAGCCUCCACCAGCUCACUGAGCUGGUCCUGAGCUGCUCGGAGCUCCUCCAGACUCUGCUGGUAGCUGAGAUCCCCCGAGCCCGACCUCUCCAGGAGGGAAACCUGGUUGGACAGCUCGCUGGUUCGAUCCCGCAGCCGCUGGAUGGACAUGUACAGGUUCUCAUCAUCUUCCUCCUGGAGCCACAGUCAGAGGAACGGAGAACAGCAAGGCAAGUGGAAGUUAUUAUGAACCAGUGGUUUACCUUUGCAUUGACGAUCUCUAUAUGGACCAGAAGUGAUGCCAAUUCCAGCUCUUCACUGUAGCUGUUCUUCAGAGGGAUGCUCCUGUAGCCUGACAACACAUGGAUAAAGCAACACAUUGCAAAAUA